GGUACCAGCCCUGGGAACUCUGUAAAAGAGAAACAGUAGGACCUCUUCUGUCUUCGGACUGCUGACAUCUCACUCAGCCUUAGGUCACUUUCUGGAGCUGGGAGGCUGUCAGAUUGUUCAUUGCUAAAGCUGAGGUUUCGGGAUGUCCCCUUCUGUCUGCUGGCCAAGAAAUUCCAGGGCCAGAGAAGCUUUCAAGAGAAGGCACGCUAGGAAGAGCUGCACACCUAGGUUGAAAAGAAACCAGGAAGAGGUAUGGGUGACAAUUCUGGGCUACUGGUGGCACAGAACACUGGAAACCUCAACCAAUUUCUCAGCUUCCUUGUGGACAGCCUCUCUCUUGAUUCUGCCUUAAGACCUCUUUCCUGGGCUCCAGUUCUGCUUUGUCUACUGGACAUCAGAGAUGCUAAGAAGAAUGUGGUGUUGUUGUUUUAUAUUUUACCAAAGCUGCUUCCUUCCAGAGGUUGCACCUUUACCCUUGUUCCUCUUCUGAAGCCUGCCUAGAAUAAACCAAGCCAUCUGCACAUCUUGGCCCUUUACAUAUCGGAGGGCACCUGUCAUGCUCACCCUCAUCCACUUUUCCCACCUCCUGACUAAAGAUUCCUCUUUCCCUCACCGUCCUCUAGCAUAGUUUCCAAAUCCUCCAUCGUCUCUGAUGGCCUUGUUAUAAGCAUUCCAGUUUGUCUUCUUCCUCCUAAAUCAGAGUGCUCUCCUCCUUUGGACAGUCUGUACACAAAGCCUAAUUGGAUUGGCUUUGGAGCAGAACCAAUGACACUUUAUGUGUGCAUUUAACUAGAAUUUCUGUAGGUUUUUUUUUUUUCUUUCCCACAUGAGCCACUAACAUCAAAACUUUAACAAUUUGUUCAUGUCCAAAUAUUGAUACUUAAGUACCAGCUUUAAAAAAUAUUUCUAUUAUAAUUUAUUUUAUUUCUAUCUAUGGUCCCUUAAGACAUUUUUAAAAUCUAGAUUAUACCAUUUCAAAGUGCUGAUUAUCACUAAUCUAUAGUAUGGCCUACCUUUGCCAUACCUUCUUAGAUGAUGUUGCAUACUUUCAUCUAAGACUAUUUGACAGGUAAAGAGCCUACAUAAAUAUAGUAUUUUGCAUCCCUAAUUUUUUCUUGUUCAUGAGACUACAAAUACCUUUUCACACACUUUACUGAAAUCAAGAUAUGUGAGAUAGAACACUACUUGCUUUAUUGGUCAAAUAACCUCUGAGAAAAAGGAAGUGGUAAUGAGUGAUCUAACACUGUGAAUGUAUCCAAUUGGAUUUUGGGUGAUCCUUACAUUCCUUUAGUGUAUUUAAAAGUGAGCUGUUUAAGUAUCCAGUCUAGGAUUGAUUCUGGGGCUCAGCAUACAUUUGGGGGAAUGUAGAACAUUUGUCCCUAUGUGAAAUCCUCUUCCAAUCUUUAAAAGUCCCCCAAAUUCACCAAUAGUGAUGCUCUAAACAGGUGAAAACAUUAUCUCAUCACUUUAGGAUUUAUUUAAUCCAGGUCUGCAGAUAUAACACUGAAUACGACAGCUGAAUCCCUUGUUCUCAGAGACACUUGAAAGAAAGGAAACUGGGAUGGAUAAGAUAGAUAGAUGACAGAUUUCAGAUAUUGGGCUUUGUUAGUCCUUCCGUGAAGCCUGGGAGAGAAUAAACUAAGACUGUUACUUGUCGUAAGUUAUACAUCUGGAGUCAUCCAUCUACUGAAAAUACAUUUCUCCAGUUAAUUGUGCUCAUGACUUUGGCCUGAGUUGACUCAGAUUCCACCUGGGGAAAGUAUCAAAGGCAAUGAUGGAAUAACUGUAGAGGAGGGGCUGACCUCUGCUAGCUGCCACCUUUUUUGAUCCAACACUACACAUGAGAUGCAAACAUCAUCAGAGACAAAUUCUGGUCUAAGAAUCAACCUCCUUAUUCUCAGAUUGGGAAUACGGAGCCUCGCUGAGGUUUAAUUGAACUGAUGAAAGCUGGAGCUGCACUCAGACCUUCUGGCUCCUUGUCUGGGUCCAUCCUUGAGGAGCACUACCCUGGCACUCCUAUGUCUCCACCUCCUUUGAUGACUUCUCUUCCUCAUUAGGAAUGGGCAUUCCCCAGUAUUCCAUCUUUGACCCUCCUUCAUCCUCUAUAAAAUCCAAGCCUGUCCUUUCUUAUAACUUUAGCUACCACCACCUCUAGGCCCAAAUCUUUAUUACCAGUUCUUCCAAGUCCCAAACUCAUUUUGUUUAACCUCAUGCUGAAUGUUUCCAACUGUGUGUAUCACCGUUUCUUCAAACACAAUGUGACUAAAGCAGAAUUCAUCUCAUAAGUAAGAGCCCUCCGCAUGAACUCUCCUUUUCCACAUCAGCUGUCUUCUUUUUCCUCCCAAUGUCUACAUCUCUGUUAUUGGUACCACCAUCCUUGAAAGAACAAUUUCUAGAAUCAAGCCUUUAUUCCUCCAGUGACGUGGACAAGGGAACCAGCAGAAAUAAUAAAUACCACUCAGUCAAGAUAUUAAUACACUCUGCUUCUCCCUGUUGUACUGCCCUGCUUUUACUGUCUGUAAGAAAUAAAAUAAAAAGUAUGGGGAGGGAUAAAUUAGGAAUUUAGGA
Molecule: long non-coding RNA, 2568 nt
Organism: Bubalus bubalis (water buffalo)
Lineage: Eukaryota; Metazoa; Chordata; Mammalia; Artiodactyla; Bovidae
Exons: 4
Source: RefSeq, a predicted model, not a curated record